GAUGAACGCUGGCGGCGUGCCUAACACAUGCAAGUCAAGCGAUUCCCUUCGGAGAAGAGCGGCGGACGGGUGAGUAACGCGUGGGUAACCUGCCCUGUACACACGGAUAACAUACCGAAAGGUAUGCUAAUACGAGAUAAUAUACUUUUAUCGCAUGGUAGAAGUAUCAAAGCUUUUGCGGUACAGGAUGGACCCGCGUCUGAUUAGCUAGUUGGUAAGGUAACGGCUUACCAAGGCGACGAUCAGUAGCCGACCUGAGAGGGUGAUCGGCCACAUUGGAACUGAGACACGGUCCAAACUCCUACGGGAGGCAGCAGUGGGGAAUAUUGCACAAUGGGCGAAAGCCUGAUGCAGCAACGCCGCGUGAGCGAUGAAGGCCUUCGGGUCGUAAAGCUCUGUCCUCAAGGAAGAUAAUGACGGUACUUGAGGAGGAAGCCCCGGCUAACUACGUGCCAGCCGCCGCGGUAA
RNAcentral lists this ribosomal RNA (468 nucleotides) under uncultured bacterium. Its description in RNAcentral is "partial 16S ribosomal RNA". It matches the Rfam family "Bacterial small subunit ribosomal RNA", at positions 28 to 523 of the family's 1533-position model. The record is from RNAcentral.